AUUGAACGCUGGCGGCAUGCCUAACACAUGCAAGUCGAACGGCAGCACAGUGUGUAGCAAUACACAUGGGUGGCGAGUGGCGGACGGGUGCGUAAUACGUAGGAAUCUUCCCUAAAGUGGGGGAUAACCCGGGGAAACUCGGGCUAAUACCGCAUAAUCUCUAUGGAGCAACGGAGGGGAUCGAAAGACCGUUCGCUUUAGGAUGAGCCUACGUCGGAUUAGCUAGUUGGUGAGGUAAAGGCCCACCAAGGUGAUGAUCCGUAGCUGGUCUGAGAGGACGGCCAGCCACACUGGGACUGAGACACGGCCCAGACUCCUACGGGAGGCAGCAGUGGGGAAUUUUGGACAAUGGGGGCAACCCUGAUCCAGCGAUGCCGCGUGUGUGAAGAAGGCCUUAUGGUUGUAAAGCACUUUAAGCGAGGAGGAGGCUCUUUUGGUUAAUACCCAAGAUGAGUGGACGUUACUCGCAGAAUAAGCACCGGCUAACUCUGUGCCAGCCGCCGCAGUAA
This 509-nucleotide ribosomal RNA is filed under the name uncultured bacterium. Its description in RNAcentral is "partial 16S ribosomal RNA". It matches the Rfam family "Bacterial small subunit ribosomal RNA", at positions 30 to 523 of the family's 1533-position model. The record is from RNAcentral.